UUGAAUGGUGUAAACAGCUUAUAGCUGCUACAAUUUCUAGUCAGAUUUCAGGUUCAGUGACAUCAGAAAAUGUAUCCAGAGACUACAAGGUUUUCAGGAGGCCUGAUAUAAGGAAUAUGCAUAAAGCAAGACAAAGAUUGGAGAUUCAGGAAGAACACAAUGGCUACCCUUCUGAAGCCGAAGCUGAUCAGGUGGCAAGUUCUACAUGUUCAUCUGUUUGUAGCUACAGAUCGUGUAUUUAGAAGCCAUUUCAUACUAGAUUUCUAGAUGAUAAGCAAAUGCUUUUCCACUACAGUAGUGCUCUCCUGUCCAAGUUUGGUAGAUUCCAUUAUGACAUUAUUUGCAAAAAUUGGUUUAUCCAACAUUUUGUCAACCAGAAAUUUGUUCAUCUGUGCUUCUCAGUUUUCCCAGAUAGGGUUAGCUAUGAGGUAAGGAGUCUUAGUCACAGCAGGACUCUGAAAUGCCUUCACAGAGAUUGAGAGGGGACAGAUGCAUAUGCUCAGGGUGCUCCUUGAGGUUAUAGACUUUGCUUUAUUCAAAUUUGCAUGAUCUGUGCCCAACAUAGUACCUGGUACCUUGUAGGUAUUUGUAGAAUGAGUCCAUAUGGGUUAUAUUUAUUAAUCAGAAAAAAAAAAUCAUGCAUCAAGAUUCUUGAGUGCUUACUCUUUGCUCGGUUCCUCAAGACCCUCUGGAGUCUUUUAAAGCCUCAGAACUUUCUCCAAAGCUUAUUUAGAAUCUCCAUGUAUGAAAGCGCUUAGAAGAGCAGCUCCAGGGAAGCAUGGUCAGCUACCCCCGUGCUCAGCUGUGCCUUUGCCCAGCCCACCCUCCUUUGGUGACCCUGGAAGCACCUUGAAGAGCCCGAUUUGAAAACCACUGCUUUUGGCAUGCAGCCAUUAUAGAAACUGUCCACACAGCAGCUUCGAUUCAUGAUGAGAAAAGUAGCAGAGAGGCCAGGGCCGUCUGGUGGGCUGGAGUCUUCAGGGACAAAUUCAGGGAGCUGGUGGGCCUUCCGCUGGACUUUCAGGGUCACUGGAACAGGGUUUGGAUGAGAUCAUCACAAGGAAUUCCUCAACUGGGCAACACAUGGAGCAGAGAUGCCAAGAGGAAUGAGUGUGUUCAUGAGAUCAAAUUUUGUCCACAAGAAUUCUAUUCCAUUCUUUGAUUGUACUGUACAUGGGUUGGAUAAAUCAAGGGUCAAAUCAUGUCUUGUGCAACUUGGUAGUUGCAGUCAAAGCUUAAUGUAGCACAAGUGUGAGUCCCAUUUCCUAACACCAGCUUUAUUAAGGGAAUCUACUGUACUCACAAAAUAACGAGCCUUUAGAAACCAUUCUUCUCUUGAAUUCCUAUGCUAAAGCUAAAUGCGUUUCCUGUACAAAAUCAGACUUUUAUGGGAAAAUCAGAAGCAGUGGGAUCAUUUGUUUUGUUCUGAUAGUUGCUUUUCCAUCACUUAUAAAGCAUGCCCCGGAUUGAAUUAUUAUUAGUGAAAGGUUUGUCUCAUGUCUUACCAGCACGUCCAUGCCUCAUAUAUAUGCACAGGUAUUUCAAGCCAAAUUUAACAUGACUAUCAGAAAAGAAGAGACAUAUUUGAUCUUCAACCUCAAUCUUGAGAGCCCUGUACAUUCUCAAAGUGGUCCCAGUCACUGGUGUCGCCCAUCUGCAACUUUUUAGUAGCUAGUCCCGUGUAGAGGACUUGAAAGUGUUUGAUGUGGCUCGCUAUAAAGCUUAAAGUGAAUCACACCCCCCCUGCCCCUCCCCGCUCCCCUUCCAGGUUCAGUUGAUUAGAACAGCUUGCUUUGGUACAUAUAUUUCAAAAUAACCCAUCCCCAUUUAUUUUUAAAUAUAAGUUAAGGAAUUUAGGUCUAUAUAUGAUAAUAUUUAACCAUUAAAAUAAGCUUUAACAGUGUAAUAUUUGAAGUAACCCUAAACUUAGAUAUUGAUUGAACUAGCUUUCUCACUUUGUAACUAUAUUGUAAAAUUAAUCACUGGUUCAGGCAAAAGAAAGCAGAACUUCAAAUUAAGACUUCUAAGAUUGGUGAUGUUAGUAUUUCUAAAACUGAACAUUUAGAAGUAUAAAUAUUGGCUUAUGCUUUAUUGAUAAAAGAUGUUUCCAAAUCAGGUGUGAGUAUAAAAAUGAAUCCAUUAACAAUUCUCCAUUUACCCUUUAAUGGUUCUCUAUGUCCCUAAAAAAUUUUACUGCAGUGUUUUAAAAACCAAUCUGGACCAAAACAUCAAGCUGAAUAAAAUUGUUCAGAGGUAAUAAUGAGCCCUUAAUCUGUAAUCUUUUAAUCGUGUAUCUUGAUAAGGAGGAUGGACCGCAUCAUUUUGUACCCUUCCUGUAGAACAGACAUACCCCAACUGACAUUUAGCAUGGAAUUUGCUUUUUAUAUUUUUUUAAGUUUUUUUUUUAAAGAUUUUAUU
Leptonychotes weddellii (Weddell seal) is the source of this 2418-nucleotide non-coding RNA. NCBI's taxonomy places the organism in Eukaryota, Metazoa, Chordata, Mammalia, Carnivora, Phocidae. The record is from RefSeq and is a predicted model, not a curated record.